RNAcentral lists this long non-coding RNA (2557 nucleotides) under Canis lupus familiaris (dog). Its description in RNAcentral is "lncRNA (ENSCAFG00845000172.1)". The record is from RNAcentral. Lineage: Eukaryota; Metazoa; Chordata; Mammalia; Carnivora; Canidae.
AUGGUAUCCAGGCCUGUUCCUCACGGGGGACAAGAAGCUUCAUUUAUCAAUGUCUACAAAAAUACAUUUGAAUCUAUUGCCAAAGAGAAGUCCCCAGGUCCCUGUUGUCUGCUGCACUGUCAUCUCACUGAAGCCCUUGCAACUUGUUUAUUAUACUAGUAGGAAUUUUUUAUGUGAAAAGAACCCAAGAAGUACUCCAAAAUUGAUAUGCUUAACCAACCUGUUGUAGCAUUAUCUCUGAGAUGCAAAACAAGAGUUCUACUUUGCAAAAGUCAAUUGGCCUCAUCAGACACCAAAUCACAAAAGAGAGGCAGACAGCAUCUAGAAGCCUUCAACUACAGACAUAGGAGCCACAGCUAGUGUGGGGUAUUUUUUUUUUUUUUUUGUGGGGUAGUUCCUUAGGCCUCCACAGUGUGGUUGAAUGUGAAUGCCCUUCUUGUACUCCAGACCACUGUUGCAAGAAUAUUUUUUGAGGCCAGCCCAUGUCACACUUUUCCUGGUACCUGCCUGAUAACAGAAGUUAACAGGUAUUCUCACAUCUGUGGUGCAACACUCCAUCUCUCUUAGGGGAAAGAGAACAUAAACUCAAAUCAGUGACUUUGAAUCAAAUUGUUAGUUCAGUAACAGUCCAUAUUCUAAAAUGGUUUUAAAGAAUCAAGUACCCAGCAUGUGUUAAGCUCUUUUAUCCAUAUUCUCAUUUACUAUUUCUAAUAGUGACCCUGUUCCCCAUGCUUGAGGAAUCUGGAAUUUCAAGAGAUUAAAUAAAUUGCCCAGUGGACACAAGUAGUAUAGGUGGCCAAUCAAGGAUUCAGUGCCAUCUUGAUUUCUCUCUUUAUACUGGCUCCUGUACAAGGAGGAUAAUAAAUAUUUCUACCUUAAAGGCUGUCCAGAAGAUUGAAUAAAAUAGUUCAUUUAAAUGCUUAGCUUGGUUCCUGACCCUCUGUCCUCAAUAGCUAUUACAAGAAUAAUUUUUGUUUCUAAUACUCACCACAAAGGCCCAAUGCAUGUCAGAAAUGAGAGUGUAUUGGUGGGAUUCCAUAUAAUUUUCCUACCAAUCUUUAUCUUAAAUUCUAUCCCUCUUUCCAGUCACCACAUCUCCAGUUCUUUUUCAUGUUCCUUAACACUGAGCCACCUCCCUUUUUCUCACAAUUAGUAGUUCCUCCAAACUUACCAAGAAAACACGGUGCACUCGGAAAUGCUUUCUCAACUUCCUUGAAUAUCCCUGACACUGUGUGGUUCUGUCAUCCUCUCCUCUCUUCCACCUUCAAGGCAGGCACAUCCCUAUUGACCACAUCCAGGGUCAAGCCUGUUCCUGUUAUCUUGAGUUCAUAUUGCACCUCUUAAAACCUAGCUCCCCACAAUAUUUUCUUUUUAUCAUAAAUAUUUUCCUCAGUGAGGACUCCUCCCAUAAUCCAGCCAUGCUCCACUCUCCCCAUCAUAGGGGGGAAAAAAAACCCUCAAACACACAUAGUUUAGAAAGCAUUGGGAUCCCUGGGUGGCUCGGUGGUUUAGCGCCUGCCUUCGGCCCAGGGCGUGAUCCUGGAGUUCCGAGAUCAAGUCCCACAUCAGGCUCCCUGCAUGGAGCCUGCUUCUGCCUCUGCCUAGGUCUCUGCCUCUCUCUCUGUGUGUCUCUCAUGAAUAAAUAAAUAAACUCUUUAUAAAAAGUUUAGAAAAAGAAAGUAUUGAGGCAGCUUUAAAGAUGGUAGCAUAGGGCAGCCCAGGUGGCUCAGCGAUUUAGUGCUGCCUUCAGCCCCAAGGGUGUGACCCUGGAGACCCGGGAUCGAGUCACACGUCAGGCUCUCUGCAUGGAGCCUGCUUCUGCCUCUGUCUCUCUGUCUCUCAUGAAUAAAUAAAAUCUUUUUUUUUUUAAUAAAAUCUUUUUAAAAAAUGGUAACAUAGAAGGCUCUUGAACCCCCCUGUUCCCACAGACACAGUGACACAUGGAAAAGAAACCCUGAAAUUAGCCACGCAAAUCUUCCAUGCUGAGACAACUAAAAGGACCUAUAUCAAAAUGAGUAGAAAAGGCUUAGACAUGCUCUUGCCAUAAAUGGUGCCCACCCACUGCACAGUGCUAUACAAUCAGAAGGAAAUCUCCAAAUACUGGCUUUUCCUUGAGAGAAGGCUUGGGAUGUGACAUCUACAGCCCCAACUUUUAAGAAUUCUACUUCAGGACUAGCCCUCAAAACACCUAGCUCUGAAAGUCAGUGGGAUUUGUGUUUACGAGUCCUACAAGACUGUAACAAACAAAAAGGCAAUUGCUAAUGAGCACAGACCUACUUAAUCCAGCUGUCACAUCAGGAUCAGCAGAGAAAAUGAACAUCUAGUAUUUCCCAGAAUGGGGUCCAUUUUGAUACUUUAAAAAUUGCCCAGAGGAGGGGGUUCAAGAUGGUAGUGUAGGGAGAUCCUGAUCUCACAUCAUCCCAUUGACUCAUUAGGUCCACACUUAAAUGUGGAAAAACUCCCUCUGAAGGGGACCUGGAAACUGGAUGAACAGAACCUCCACAACAAAGGAUAACACAGAUAGGUAGAAGAGGGAGAGAUGUUAUACUAUAUGUUG